GGGGAAUAUUGGACAAUGGGCGCAAGCCUGAUCCAGCCAUGCCGCGUGAGUGAUGAAGGCCUUAGGGUUGUAAAGCUCUUUUGGCGGGGACGAUAAUGACGGUACCCGCAGAAUAAGUCCCGGCUAACUUCGUGCCAGCAGCCGCGGUAAUACGAAGGGGACUAGCGUUGUUCGGAAUCACUGGGCGUAAAGCGCACGUAGGCGGAUUUGUAAGUCAGGGGUGAAAUCCCGGGGCUCAACCUCGGAACUGCCUUUGAUACUGCGAAUCUCGAGUCCGAUAGAGGUGGGUGGAAUUCCUAGUGUAGAGGUGAAAUUCGUAGAUAUUAGGAAGAACACCGGUGGCGAAGGCGGCCCACUGGAUCGGUACUGACGCUGAGGUGCGAAAGCGUGGGGAGCAAAC
Molecule: ribosomal RNA, 400 nt
Filed under: uncultured bacterium
Lineage: Bacteria
Description: bacterial SSU rRNA
Rfam family: Bacterial small subunit ribosomal RNA
Source: RNAcentral